AGGACGAACGCUGGCGGCACGCCUAACACAUGCAAGUCGAACGGAGAUUGAGAGCUUGCUCUUAAAUCUUAGUGGCGGACGGGUGAGUAACACGUGAGCAACCUGCCUCUGAGAGAGGGAUAGCUUCUGGAAACGGAUGGUAAUACCUCAUAACAUUACAUGACCGCAUGAUCGUGUAAUCAAAGAUUUAUCACUCAGAGAUGGGCUCGCGUCUGAUUAGCUAGUUGGUGAGGUAACGGCCCACCAAGGCGACGAUCAGUAGCCGGACUGAGAGGUUGAACGGCCACAUUGGGACUGAGACACGGCCCAGACUCCUACGGGAGGCAGCAGUGAGGGAUAUUGCACAAUGGAGGAAACUCUGAUGCAGCGAUGCCGCGUGGAGGAAGAAGGUUUUCGGAUUGUAAACUCCUGUUUCGAGGGACGAUAAUGACGGUACCUCGGGAGGAAGCUCCGGCUAACUACGUGCCAGCCGCCGC
This 476-nucleotide ribosomal RNA is filed under the name uncultured bacterium. RNAcentral describes it as "bacterial SSU rRNA". It matches the Rfam family "Bacterial small subunit ribosomal RNA", at positions 26 to 518 of the family's 1533-position model. The record is from RNAcentral.